GACGAACGCUGGCGGCGUGCCUAAUACAUGCAAGUCGAGCGAACAGACGAGGAGUUUGCUCCUCUGACGUUAGCCGCGGACGGGUGAGUAACACGUGGAUAACCUACCUAUAAGACGGGGAUAAUCUCGGGAAACCGGCGCUAAUACCGGAUAACAUGCUGCACCGCAUGGUUGAACAGAGAAAGACGGCUUUGCUGUAUCUUAUAGAUGGAUCCCCGUCGCUUUAGGUAGUUGUGAGGGUAAAGGGUUAUCAAGGCAACGAUGCGUAGCCGACCUGCGAGGGGGGUAGGCCGCACGGGAGGUGGAACGGGGACCAGGCUCCUGAGGGAGGCAGCAGUAGGGAAUCUUACGCAAUGGUGGAAAGCCUGGCGGAGCAGGGCCGCGUGAGUGAAGAAGGUCUUCGGUGCGUAAAACUCUGUUAUUGGGGAAGAACAGAUGUGUAAGGAGCUAAGCACGUCUUGACGGUACCUGAUAAGAAAGCCACGGCUAACUACGUG
Molecule: ribosomal RNA, 497 nt
Filed under: uncultured bacterium
Lineage: Bacteria
Description: partial 16S ribosomal RNA
Rfam family: Bacterial small subunit ribosomal RNA
Source: RNAcentral